Molecule: long non-coding RNA, 215 nt
Filed under: Mytilus galloprovincialis (Mediterranean mussel)
Lineage: Eukaryota; Metazoa; Mollusca; Bivalvia; Mytilida; Mytilidae
Source: RNAcentral
CAAUUGCGCUCCUCUACUUGCAGAUUUGUUUUUGUAUUCCUAUGAAGCAGAAUUUAUCCAAGGGUUUGUACAGAAAGGAGAAAAGACAUUAGCCCAGUCUUUUAAUGUCAUCUUUCGGUGUAUUGAUGGUGUACUGUCUCCUAAUACUAAUAGAUUCAGUGAUCACUUACAUUUAAUAUAUCCAAGUAAACUUGAAAUUAAAGACACUAACGACA